AUCUAGCUAACGAGUCUCCAAUAGGACUAAACGCGUGUCCUAGAU
Molecule: non-coding RNA, 45 nt
Filed under: Schistosoma margrebowiei
Lineage: Eukaryota; Metazoa; Platyhelminthes; Trematoda; Strigeidida; Schistosomatidae
Source: RNAcentral